This 73-nucleotide transfer RNA is filed under the name Sus scrofa (pig). It matches the Rfam family "tRNA". From Rfam's summary of the family: Transfer RNA (tRNA) molecules are approximately 80 nucleotides in length. Their secondary structure includes four short double-helical elements and three loops (D, anti-codon, and T loops). The record is from Rfam by way of RNAcentral. Lineage: Eukaryota; Metazoa; Chordata; Mammalia; Artiodactyla; Suidae.
UCCCUGGUGGCCUAGUGGUUAAGGACCCAGCAUUGUCAUUGCUAUGGCGUGGGUUCGAUCCCUGGCCUGGGAA